CUGAUUGACUUGGCAGUUUCCUCGGAGCCAAAAGUGACUAUGAGGUCGACAUAGCCCCAAGGCUUAGUGGUUGCCCCGUUGAAUCCUGUGAGAUCUGAGCCCAAGUACGGGGUGAGGCGUGUCUCGUCCAGCUGUAAGGUCCUGAACAAACUGGCGUACAUAAUGUCGCAGGAGCUCCCCGGAUCGAUGAGGACCCGACGAAUGUCCAUGUUGGCCAUGUCUGCCCGGACGAGGAGGGGAAUUUGGAAAUUGGCUGACCCACCGGGCAGCUCCUCGCGAUAGAAGGCUAAAGGCAUUGACCGCCCC
Molecule: long non-coding RNA, 306 nt
Filed under: Trifolium pratense (red clover)
Lineage: Eukaryota; Viridiplantae; Streptophyta; Magnoliopsida; Fabales; Fabaceae
Description: long non-coding RNA (TPRA_LNC006999)
Source: RNAcentral